ACGGCCAUACCAUGCUGAAUAUACCGGUUCUCGUUAGAUCACCGAAGUCAAGCAUCGUUGGGCGCGGUCAGUACUUGGGUGGGUGUCCACCUGGGAACACCGCGUGCC
RNAcentral lists this ribosomal RNA (108 nucleotides) under Caerostris darwini. Lineage: Eukaryota; Metazoa; Arthropoda; Arachnida; Araneae; Araneidae. The record is from RNAcentral.